UGGUGGAGUGAUUUGUCUGGUUAAUUCCGAUAACGAACGAGACUCUGGCCUACUAAAUAGUGAGCGCAUCUUCGGUGCGUCGCACUUCUUAGAGGGACAAGUGACUUACAGUCACACGAAAUUGAGCAAUAACA
Molecule: ribosomal RNA, 134 nt
Filed under: uncultured eukaryote
Lineage: Eukaryota
Description: partial 18S ribosomal RNA
Rfam family: Eukaryotic small subunit ribosomal RNA
Source: RNAcentral